Long non-coding RNA from Trematomus bernacchii (emerald rockcod), 578 nucleotides. RefSeq lists it as uncharacterized. NCBI's taxonomy places the organism in Eukaryota, Metazoa, Chordata, Actinopteri, Perciformes, Nototheniidae. The transcript is spliced from 3 exons. The record is from RefSeq and is a predicted model, not a curated record.
ACUGCGGCAGGUAACACAACCUCUCUAUAUAAACCAAGGUGUCCGUGUUCUCUUCACAAAUCCUACUCUUCCAUUCUCUCUACCUACUCAAGCUUUCAUUGAAUUUGCAAACAUGGGAGAAAUGCUGGGAGCCAUGGCAUUAUUGAUGAAGAACUUCAAAAAGUAUGCUGGACAAGACGCAGACAAAGAAACAAUAAGCAAGAAAGAACUUUCUGAUAUGCUCCACGCGGAGAUUCCUGGAAUGAUCGGGGACAAAAAAGACUUGGACGCAUUCUUCACCGGCCUGGAUGAGGACGAGGAUGGCAAAGUUUCUUUCGAUGAGUAUAUCGUGCUUGUAGGAUGCUUAAUGAUGAUUCUCAAGGAAAUGCUGGAUGAAUAAAGUUCAUGUCAUUAUGUGUUCUGAGGAAACAACGAUAAAUCAUUGAUGGGUUCUUAUGUUAGCUUAAAGAACCUGAAAGGUGCUGUCUUUGAGCAUAAAUCAUUGAUUUUUAAUAUCAGAUGUUAACUAACAAAAAUAAAUGUUGUCACAUUUUAUAAUUGUUUGUGUGUGUUAUUAAACGAAAGAGAUAUUGUGAGAA